UGGAAUGUAAAGAGAGCACACAAG
Molecule: microRNA, 24 nt
Filed under: Mus musculus (house mouse)
Lineage: Eukaryota; Metazoa; Chordata; Mammalia; Rodentia; Muridae
Description: mmu-miR-6382
Source: miRBase by way of RNAcentral